AUGAACGCUAGCGACAGGCCUAACACAUGCAAGUCGAGGGGCAGCACAAGGAGCAAUCUGAGGUGGCGACCGGCGCACGGGUGAGUAACACGUAUGCAACCUGCCUGUAAGCGGGGAAUAACCCGUUGAAAGACGGACUAAUACCGCAUAAUACUAAAUUACUGCAUGGUAAUUUAUUUAAACAUUUAUGGCUUACAGAUGGGCAUGCACAUGAUUAGCUAGUUGGAGAGGUAACGGCUCCCCAAGGCAACGAUCAUUAGGGGUUCUGAGAGGAAGGUCCCCCACACUGGUACUGAGACACGGACCAGACUCCUACGGGAGGCAGCAGUGAGGAAUAUUGGUCAAUGGACGAGAGUCUGAACCAGCCAAGUCGCGUGCAGGAAGAAUGUCCCUAUGGAUUGUAAACUGCUUUUGCAGGGGAAUAAAGUGCAUCACGUGUGAUGUUUUGUAUGUACUCUGCGAAUAAGGAUCGGCUAACUCCGUGCCAGCCGCCGC
This 495-nucleotide ribosomal RNA is filed under the name uncultured bacterium. Its description in RNAcentral is "bacterial SSU rRNA". It matches the Rfam family "Bacterial small subunit ribosomal RNA", at positions 29 to 518 of the family's 1533-position model. The record is from RNAcentral.